This is a non-coding RNA of Thermoactinomyces sp. Gus2-1, 110 nucleotides long. NCBI's taxonomy places the organism in Bacteria, Bacillati, Bacillota, Bacilli, Caryophanales, Thermoactinomycetaceae. The record is from Rfam.
AAUCCCUUUUAAAUCGGUCCAGUGAGUCCGGCAAAGGGAUGCGGUUGACAAACAAGCGCUGUAUUGUUUUACUGCGUCUCUUUGCGUAUGGGCAAAGAGACGUUUUUUUA